RNAcentral lists this small nuclear RNA (107 nucleotides) under Chinchilla lanigera (long-tailed chinchilla). Lineage: Eukaryota; Metazoa; Chordata; Mammalia; Rodentia; Chinchillidae. The record is from RNAcentral.
GUGCUCACUUCAGCAGCACACAUACUAAAAUUGGAACAAUACAGAGAAGAUUAGCAGGGCCCCUUUGCAAGGAUGACAUGCAAAUUCAUGAAGCAUUCCAUAUUUUG